AGAAUCAACGCUGGCGGCGUGCCUAACACAUGCAAGUCGCACGAGAAAGGGUAGCAAUACCUGAGUAAAGUGGCGCACGGGUGAGUAACACGUGAAUAAUCUACCUCCGAGUGGGGAAUAACUCGAGAGAAAUCUUAGCUAAUACCGCAUAACACUUACGAGUCAAAGCAGCAAUGCGCUUGGAGAGGAGUUCGCGGCCGAUUAGUUAGUUGGCGGGGUAAUGGCCCACCAAGACGAUGAAUCGGUAUCC
This 250-nucleotide ribosomal RNA is filed under the name uncultured bacterium. RNAcentral's name for it is "partial small subunit ribosomal RNA". It matches the Rfam family "Bacterial small subunit ribosomal RNA", at positions 26 to 288 of the family's 1533-position model. The record is from RNAcentral.